Molecule: long non-coding RNA, 643 nt
Organism: Helianthus annuus (common sunflower)
Lineage: Eukaryota; Viridiplantae; Streptophyta; Magnoliopsida; Asterales; Asteraceae
Exons: 3
Source: RefSeq, a predicted model, not a curated record
CAAAAUGGUUGAGUCAGCCCUGCUGAUUGCUAUCUAAAAAUUCUUAUGUUUUUUUAAUUAUGGAAAACAAUAAACUUUUUAAAUUUAAGGUACGGAAAUUACAUUUGAAUUCUAUUAAAUGUGUUAAAUGAGUUGUGUUCAUGAGUUGGAGGGGUCGAAUUUAAGUGUUUUUUUUUCAAAGAAUAGGUUAACUGGGUCGACCUAUCUUUUUUUGUGAUUGGAUAGCAUACUCGAUCCAUAGCUCAAUAGUAAGUUGUUAGAUUUGUAAAAUAUGUACAGAUUUUUGUAUCCUCUUUUGAUUAUUUAAAGAAUCUGAUAAAUGUUUAAAAAGUAUUUUAUAUUUUCAGCCUAUUUGUUGUUUGGUUUGUUUCAGGUUUGAUAUUUGUACGGGGAUGCCAUAUGGUUCAACUUCUCUUGAGUCCUCAAUAAGCUUUUUAAAUUUUUAUUUUUACUUCAAGAUAUUAAGGUGGCAUGAGGCUGGAACAUACAAUGUUAAUACGAAAACUGGAGCUCUAAAUGGUUUGAUAAGAAAUGUGGAGUAUAGUCAUGGCUCUAACAACGGCUUGACGAUUGCUAUUGAUUUUUUGCGGUGAUCUGUGUGAUCCAGGAAAAGUGCAGUAAAGCACUAUCAAGCUCAGAGAAG